GGGGAUUUGGCGCAGUGGUAGCGCGUACGCUUUGCACGUCCAGUAAAAUAUGCGUAAUGUCGUGGGUUCAAUCCCCACAGUCUCCA
Molecule: non-coding RNA, 86 nt
Organism: Pterulicium gracile
Lineage: Eukaryota; Fungi; Basidiomycota; Agaricomycetes; Agaricales; Pterulaceae
Source: the annotation of a GenBank genome assembly